Molecule: ribosomal RNA, 274 nt
Filed under: uncultured bacterium
Lineage: Bacteria
Description: partial 16S ribosomal RNA
Rfam family: Bacterial small subunit ribosomal RNA
Source: RNAcentral
AUACAGAGGGUGCAAGCGUUAAUCGGAAUUACUGGGCGUAAAGCGCGCGUAGGCGGUUUAAUCAGUCGGAUGUGAAAGCCCCGGGCUCAACCUGGGAACUGCAUUCGAUACUGUUAAGCUAGAGUAUGGUAGAGGGAAGUGGAAUUCCAGGUGGAGCGGUGAAAUGCGUAGAUAUCUGGAGGAACAUCAGUGGCGAAGGCGACUUCCUGGACCAAUACUGACGCUGAGGUGCGAAAGCGUGGGGAGCAAACAGGAUUAGAAACCCUAGUAGUCC